Molecule: ribosomal RNA, 452 nt
Filed under: uncultured Leptolinea sp.
Lineage: Bacteria; Bacillati; Chloroflexota; Anaerolineae; Anaerolineales; Anaerolineaceae
Description: bacterial SSU rRNA
Rfam family: Bacterial small subunit ribosomal RNA
Source: RNAcentral
GGGCCCGCACAAGCAGCGGAGCGUGUGGUUUAAUUCGAUGUUACACGAAGAACCUUACCAGGGUUUGACAUGCAAGUGGUAGGAAGCCGAAAGGUGACCGACCCUUCGGGGAGCUUGCACAGGUGCUGCAUGGCUGUCGUCAGCUCGUGUCGUGAGAUGUUCGGUUAAGUCCGCUAACGAGCGCAACCCUCGCUGUGUGUUAUAUGUGUCACACGGGACUGCCGGUCUUAAGCCGGAGGAAGGUGGGGAUGAUGUCAAGUCAGCAUGGCCUUUAUAUCCUGGGCUACACACACGCUACAAUGGUCAGCACAAUAGGUAGCCAAGCCGCGAGGUGGAGCCAAUCCUCAAAGCUGGCCUCAGUUCAGAUCGCAGGCUGCAACCCGCCUGCGUGAAGCCGGAGUUGCUAGUAACCGCAGGUCAGCUAUACUGCGGUGAAUACGUUCCCGGGGCUU